Molecule: ribosomal RNA, 930 nt
Filed under: uncultured beta proteobacterium
Lineage: Bacteria; Pseudomonadati; Pseudomonadota; Betaproteobacteria
Description: bacterial SSU rRNA
Rfam family: Bacterial small subunit ribosomal RNA
Source: RNAcentral
GAGUUUGAUCCUGGCUAGAAUGAACGCUGGCGGCAUGCCUUACACAUGCAAGUCGAACGGCAGCAUGACCUAGCUUGCUAGGUUGAUGGCGAGUGGCGAACGGGUGAGUAAUGCAUCGGAACGUGCCUUUUAGUGGGGGAUAACGUAGCGAAAGUUACGCUAAUACCUGCAUAUUAUNCGAGGAGGAAAGAAGGGAACCUUCGGCUCCUUGCGCUAGAAGAGCCGGCCGAUGGCGGAAUUAGCUAGNUGGGUGAGGUAAAAGGCUCACCAAGGGCAACGAUNCGGUAGCGGGUCUGAGAGGAUGAUCCGCCACACUGGAACUGAGACACGGGCCCAGGACUCNUACGGGAGGCAGCAGUGGGGAAUUUUGGACAAUGGGGCGAAAGCCUGAUCCAGCCAUGCCGCGUGAGUGAAGAAGGCCUUCGGGGNUGUAAAGCCCUUUCGGCCGGGACGAAAUCGCAUUCUCUAAUACAGGAUGUGGAUGACGGUACCGGAAUAAGAAGCACCGGCUAACUACGUGCCAGCAGCCGCGGUAAUACGUAGGGUGCGAGCGUUAUUCGGAAUUACUGGGCGUAAAGCGUGCGCAGGCGGUUGUGUAAGACAGACGUGAAAUCCCCGGGCUCAACCUGGGAACUGCGUUUGUGACUGCACGGCUAGAGUACGGCAGAGGGGGGUGGAAUUCCACGUGUAGCAGUGAAAUGCGUAGAGAUGUGGAGGAACACCGAUGGCGAAGGCAGCCCCCUGGGCCGAUACUGACGCUCAUGCACGAAAGCGUGGGGAGCAAACAGGAUUAGAUACCCUGGUAGUCCACGCCCUAAACGAUGUCAACUAGGUGUUGGGUGGGUAAAACCAUUUAGUACCGGAGCUAACGCGUGAAGUUGACCGCCUGGGGAGUACGGCCGCAAGGUUAAAACUCAAAGGAAUUGACGG